Molecule: ribosomal RNA, 292 nt
Filed under: uncultured bacterium
Lineage: Bacteria
Description: partial 16S ribosomal RNA
Rfam family: Bacterial small subunit ribosomal RNA
Source: RNAcentral
GUGUCAGCAGCCGCGGUAAGACGAACCGUGCGAACGUUGUUCGGAAUCACUGGGCUUAAAGGGCGCGUAGGCGGUUGACCAAGUCUGGGGUGAAAUCUUUCGGCUUAACCGGAAAAGUGCCUUGGAGACUGGUCAGCUGGAGGGAGGUAGGGGUAGCUGGAACUUCCGGUGGAGCGGUGAAAUGCGUUGAUAUCGGAAGGAACGCCGGUGGCGAAAGCGAGCUGCUGGACCUUUUCUGACGCUGAUGCGCGAAAGCUAGGGGAGCAAACGGGAUUAGAUACCCCCGUAGUCC